GUUCCAUGGAACCCUUUGGUGUCACAAACUCCCUUGGAUCCUUGGGCCCCACAGUGUCAUAAUGGCACCAUGGUCCCCCAAGGCACUGCAGUGUCACAGUGGAUCCUUGGUUCCAUGGGGUCUGGUAGUGCAGCAAUGCUCUCCUUGGUUCCCACAGUCUUUUAUGCCUCCCACUCUCAGACAAUAGAAGGGCACCUGUAGAUGAAGGGGAGUGGGAGUAGAUACCUACUCAAGAAGGUAAUAAUAAAAAUUCCUCCUGACCCCCACGCCGAGGCAGGUGCCACUUCAGAACAGGUCUUAACUAGAAAGAGGACCUGGAAUGUUAGACUGAAAAAGUGGAAUCUCCUAAUCUCCUGUGAGGAUGGAAGCCCCAGCUCUGCCUGGAGACCAGCGGACAAAGCUGCAUCCUCCUCCUCCUCCUCCGUGCCACUCCUGGGAGCAGAGGCAGCGUGGGUGCGACCUGUCGAUUUCUCCCCACCUGAGCUGAUUCUUUUUAACAAAGGCAUUAAAAAGGAGAAA
This is a long non-coding RNA of Passer domesticus (house sparrow), 519 nucleotides long. RefSeq lists it as uncharacterized. The record is from RefSeq and is a predicted model, not a curated record. The transcript is spliced from 2 exons. Lineage: Eukaryota; Metazoa; Chordata; Aves; Passeriformes; Passeridae.